AGAAGAAUUAUUUUUGUUCGGAAACAAUCUAGAAGUUAAGUAAUUUUCGUCUUAAGAUUUGGACAAGGAUAGUAUUAACGUAUGUGCACAAUGCACAAGGAGGCAACAACUAUGGAACAAGGUAAAGUAAAAUGGUUUAAUGCAGAAAAAGGUUUUGGAUUCAUCGAGCGUGAAGGUGGAGACGACGUAUUCGUACACUUCUCUGCAAUCCAAAGCGAAGGUUUCAAAUCUUUAGACGAAGGUCAAGACGUAACGUUUGAAGUAGAACAAGGCCAACGUGGUCCACAAGCAACUAACGUUGUAAAAGCAUAAUUGUAAAAGCAGACUCCUCUGAGUCUGCUUUUUUU
RNAcentral lists this non-coding RNA (347 nucleotides) under Priestia endophytica. RNAcentral's name for it is "Bacillus endophyticus cspA thermoregulator". It matches the Rfam family "cspA thermoregulator", at positions 109 to 428 of the family's 428-position model. Lineage: Bacteria; Bacillati; Bacillota; Bacilli; Caryophanales; Bacillaceae. The record is from Rfam by way of RNAcentral.